RNAcentral lists this ribosomal RNA (831 nucleotides) under Richoniella sp. PDD 65292. RNAcentral's name for it is "eukaryotic LSU rRNA". It matches the Rfam family "Eukaryotic large subunit ribosomal RNA", at positions 118 to 935 of the family's 3401-position model. Lineage: Eukaryota; Fungi; Basidiomycota; Agaricomycetes; Agaricales; Entolomataceae. The record is from RNAcentral.
AAAUCUGGAGUCUUUGGCUAUCCGAGUUGUAAUCUAGAGAAGCGUUAUCCGCGCUGGACCGUGUAUAAGUCUCCUGGAACGGAGCGUCAUAGAGGGUGAGAAUCCCGUCUUUGACACGGACUCCCAGGGCUUUGUGAUGUGCUCUCAAAGAGUCGAGUUGUUUGGGAAUGCAGCUCUAAAUGGGUGGUAAAUUCCAUCUAAAGCUAAAUAUUGGCGAGAGACCGAUAGMGAACAAGUACCGUGAGGGAAAGAUGAAAAGAACUUUGGAAAGAGAGUUAAACAGUACGUGAAAUUGUUGAAAGGGAAACGCUUGAAGUCAGUCGCAUUGAUCAGGGAUCAACCUUGCUUUUUUGCUUGGUGUACUUCCUGGUUAAUGGGUCAGCAUCAAUUUUGACCAGUGGAAAAAGAUUAAGGGAAUGUGGCAUCUUCGGAUGUGUUAUAGCCUUUGGUCGCAUACAUUGGUUGGGAUUGAGGAACUCAGCACGCCGCAAGGCCGGGUUUUUAACCACGUUCGUGCUUAGGAUGCUGGCAUAAUGGCUUUAAUCGACCCGUCUUGAAACACGGACCAAGGAGUCUAACAUGCCUGCGAGUGUUUGGGUGGAAAACCCAAGCGCGUAAUGAAAGUGAAAGUUGGGAUCCCUGUCGUGGGGAGCACCGAUGCCCGGACCAGACCUUCUGUGACGGAUCCGCGGUUGAGCAUGUAUGUUGGGACCCGAAAGAUGGUGAACUAUGCCUGAAUAGGGUGAAGCCAGAGGAAACUCUGGUGGAGGCUCGUAGCGAUUCUGACGUGCAAAUCGAUCGUCGAAUUUGGGUAUAGGGCGAAAGACUAAU